Molecule: long non-coding RNA, 422 nt
Filed under: Exaiptasia diaphana
Lineage: Eukaryota; Metazoa; Cnidaria; Anthozoa; Actiniaria; Aiptasiidae
Description: uncharacterized LOC110236824, transcript variant X1
Source: RNAcentral
UGUUGUAUUCAACAAAAGACUUGAUAAACAUGGCACACACAAGAGGUAUGAUCUACGCACUCUCAGUAAUACUAGUUCUAAGUCUCUUAUCACAAACAACGAUGUCAUUUUUCCGAGAGGGACGAGGACUACAAUCAUUUAAACGAACAAGAAUGANUGCUGAAUAUGAACCGCUGAACAGGGAACAACAAGAACCAUUCCGCAAACUUUACAACCAAAUACAUUUGAAAAGGAAAUAUCAUAAUCAAGAACGAGAAUGAAGUCUACGCCAUCAGAUAUUACCAUGGCAACCAAUUGAUCAAUAACAAUAACUAGGAUGUUUUCUAUCACCCUUCAUUGGUCGGCUUGUUUACCAUACGAGCUAUGGCGUCAUAUUUAGUUUAUCAGAAUAAAUAAGAAAAUAAAGUAUUAUUCAUGACAUU